RNAcentral lists this long non-coding RNA (1068 nucleotides) under Medicago truncatula (barrel medic). RNAcentral's name for it is "lncRNA gene36948". Lineage: Eukaryota; Viridiplantae; Streptophyta; Magnoliopsida; Fabales; Fabaceae. The record is from RNAcentral.
UGAUUAAUUGCAUAGGAUAGAAGUAACCUGAUUGCUUCCAAUCUUGCAAUUGGAGCAAAUGUUUCAGUGUAAUCAAUGCCUUCUUAUUGACUGUAACCUUGAGCAACAAGUCUGGCUUUGUUUAUGGUUACCUCUCCUUGUUCAUUCAACUUGUUUCUGAAUACCCAUUUUGUUCCAAUAAUGUUCUUCUGAAAAGGUUUGGGUACCAGAUCCCACACAUCAUUCCUUUGAAACUGAUUUAGUUCUUCUUGCAUAGCUAGUAUCCAACCAUCAUCUGAGAGAGCUUCUUCAACAGUUUUUGGCUCAAUUAUUGAAAGCAAUCCUAUUAAAGACUCUUCUUGUCUGAAAUGUGAUCUUGUUCUUCUAGGACUAUCUUUGCUUCCAAUGAUUAGCUCCUCAGGAUGUGACGAUUUGUGCUUGAAUUUAGGUUGAAUAACUUGCUGAGUGUUAUCUUGAAUAUCCUCAGAAGCAUUUUCAUUCUGUACUUCUGAACUAGGUUCUGCUUCUGAAAUAGACUCAGCUUCUGGAGUGAUUUCAGCUUCCGGACUAGAUUCAUCUUCUGAAUGCUUUUCAGAAUCAGAAGGUUGAUCAGAUUCUGAUGCAUCUUCAGAAUCAGUUGUACCUGCAUUACUUUCACUUGGCUCUGGAGUUUUACUUCUAGGCUCUCUAUCAUCAAAUUUUACGUGCAUAGAUUCUUCAACACAAUGUGUUUCUGAAUUAUACACUCUGUACGCCUUUGACCUUUCAGAGUAACCUAAAAAGAUUCCUCUUUGACCCUUGGCAUCAAAUUUCUUCAGAUAGUCUUUAGUGUUUAGAAUGUAACAAGUACAUCCAAACUGAUGAAAGUAAGUGAUAUUGGGUCUUCUUCCUUUAAAGAGUUCAUAUGCAGUUUUCUCCAACAUAGGUCUGAUAUAGAUCCUAUUUUGAAUAUAACAUGAAGUAUUAUCUGCUUCUGCCCAGAAAUGUUUAGCUAAAUUGUUUUCAUGGAUCAUGGUUCUGGCCAUUUCUUGUAAGGUUCUAUUCUUUCUCUCUACAACCCCAUUUUGUUGUGGAGUUCUAGGAGAAGAA